CUCAAGGCGAGAAAGGACAGUGGAAUGGACCAACACCUUAGUCGCAUCUGGCAUUAAGUAGGGGCGGAUGUGCCCAAUGUUUUUGAGAUGGAAAUGACAGGAUUUGGCAAAAGAUUGAACAUGAGGCUUGAAGGAGAGGUCGGAGUCAAAGAGAACACCUAGGCAGCGAGCCUGCGUGGUGGAGCUGAUGGUAGCACCGUUGACUUGGAGGGAGAC
RNAcentral lists this long non-coding RNA (216 nucleotides) under Pelobates cultripes (western spadefoot toad). Lineage: Eukaryota; Metazoa; Chordata; Amphibia; Anura; Pelobatidae. The record is from RNAcentral.